RNAcentral lists this transfer RNA (69 nucleotides) under Aedes aegypti (yellow fever mosquito). It matches the Rfam family "tRNA". From Rfam's summary of the family: Transfer RNA (tRNA) molecules are approximately 80 nucleotides in length. Their secondary structure includes four short double-helical elements and three loops (D, anti-codon, and T loops). The record is from Rfam by way of RNAcentral. Lineage: Eukaryota; Metazoa; Arthropoda; Insecta; Diptera; Culicidae.
GCUCAAUAGCUUUGUCGGUAAAGCACUCGUCUAGCAUGCAAGAGUCGUGGGUUCAAACCCCCCGGAGCA